AACUUUUAACAACGGAUCUCGCGGCGAGAAUGGCCAAGGGAGUGCCGCAAGCAAACGGGGAAAUCGCGGUCGAGCCCUUGAUGGAUGUCGGGCACGUCGCCAGCGCCGUGACCUACAUGGCGAGCCUGCCGCUGGAUGCGAACGUACAGUUCAUGACCGUCAUGGCCACCAAGAUGCCUUUUGUCGGUCGCGGCUGAUAACGCAAGCGAUGCUAAUAGCUAGCGUAGCCCGGAUGAAGCGCAGCGUCCCCCAAGGGGACAUUCCCGCAAGGGGAUUUGCUUCGCGGCACCUGCGGGGCACAAUCCGGGGUGGAGUGUCCUGAAAUUGUUCCCGGAUUGCGGCGCGAUGCGCCUUCAUCCGGGCUACGCCUUGCCGACCCCUUACUUAAGCAUAUCAAUAAGCGGAGGCU
This 409-nucleotide unclassified non-coding RNA is filed under the name uncultured Ascomycota. Its description in RNAcentral is "sequence contains ITS2". The record is from RNAcentral. Lineage: Eukaryota; Fungi; Ascomycota.